AGAUCAAGCUACAAAGGGCGCACGGUGAAUGCCCUGGCACUAGGAGCCGAUGAAGGACGUGAUAAGCUGCGAUAAGCUACAUGUAGGCGCACACAGCCUGUGAUAUGUAGAUUUCCGAAUGGGGGAACCCAUCUAGUUAUGCUAGAUACUGUAUACCGAAUACAUAGGUAUAUGGAGGUACACCUGGGGAACUGAAACAUCUAAGUACCCAGAGGAAGAGAAAGAAAAUUCGAUUCCCUAAGUAGCGGCGAGCGAAAGGGGAAGAGCCCAAACCAGGAACUUGUUCCUGGGGUUGCGGAUAGAUCAUAACGCUUUGAUUUCUUUAGUUGAAGAGAACUGGAAGUUCCGUCGUAGAAGGUAAUAACCCUGUAGGCGAAAAGGAAAGAAAAGUAGAUCUACUCCAGAGUACCACGAGACACGUGAAACCUUGUGGGAAGCUGGGAGGACCAUCUCCCAAGGCUAAAUACUACCUAGUGACCGAUAGUGAAGCAGUACCGUGAGGGAAAGGUGAAAAGACCCCCGGAAGGGGAGAGAAAUAGAAUCUGAAACCGGGGGCCUACAAUCGGUCGGAGCACAUUAAAGGGUGACGGCGUACUUUUUGUAGAACGGGCCAGCGAGUUACGAUAUAUAGCAAGGGUAAGCACUUAUGGUGUGGAGCCGAAGGGAAACCGAGUCUGAAUAGGGCAACUAGUUGUAUAUUGUAGACCCGAAACCGAGUGACCUAUCC
Molecule: ribosomal RNA, 727 nt
Filed under: Clostridium botulinum C/D str. DC5
Lineage: Bacteria; Bacillati; Bacillota; Clostridia; Eubacteriales; Clostridiaceae
Description: bacterial LSU rRNA
Rfam family: Bacterial large subunit ribosomal RNA
Source: RNAcentral